UGAGGUUAAGCGACUAAGCGUACACGGUGGAUGCCCAGGCAGUCAGAGGCGAUGAAGGACGUGCUAAUCUGCGUAAAGCGACGGUAAGGUGAUAUGAACCGCUACAGCCGUCGAUGUCCGAAUGGGGAAACCCGGUGCACUCUGUGCAUCAUUGCAGCAUGAAUACAUAGUGCUGCAAGGCGAACCGGGGGAACUGAAACAUCUAAGUACCCCGAGGAAAAGAAAUCAACCGAGAUUCCCCCAGUAGCGGCGAGCGAACGGGGAGCAGCCCAGAGCCUGAAUCAGUUUGUGUGUUAGUGGAAGCGUCUGGAAAGUCGCAGGGUACAGGGUGAUACUCCCGUACACAAAAACACACAUGCUGUGAGCUCGAUGAGUAAGGCGGGACACGUGGUAUCCUGUCUGAAUAUGGGGGGACCAUCCUCCAAGGCUAAAUACUCCUGACUGACCGAUAGUGAACCAGUACCGUGAGGGAAAGGCGAAAAGAACCCCGGCGAGGGGAGUGAAACAGAACCUGAAACCGUGUACGUACAAGCAGUGGGAGCCUUCUUUAUGGGGGUGACUGCGUACCUUUUGUAUAAUGGGUCAGCGACUUAUAUUCUGUAGCAAGGUUAACCGUAUAGGGGAGCCGCAGGGAAACCGAGUCUUAACUGGGCGUUAAGUUGCAGGGUAUAGACCCGAAACCCGGUGAUCUAGCCAUGGGCAGGUUGAAGGUUGGGUAACACUAACUGGAGGACCGAACCGACUAAUGUUGAAAAAUUAGCGGAUGACCUGUGGCUGGGGGUGAAAGGCCAAUCAAACCGGGAGAUAGCUGGUUCUCCCCGAAAGCUAUUUAGGUAGCGCCUCGUGAACUCAUCUUCGGGGGUAGAGCACUGUUUCGGCUAGGGGGCCAUCCCGGCUUACCAACCCGAUGCAAACUGCGAAUACCGAAGAAUGUUAUCACGGGAGACACACGGCGGGUGCUAACGUCCGUCGUGAAGAGGGAAACAACCCAGACCGCCAGCUAAGGUCCCAAAGUCAUGGUUAAGUGGGAAACGAUGUGGGAAGGCACAGACAGCCAGGAUGUUGGCUUAGAAGCAGCCAUCAUUUAAAGAAAGCGUAAUAGCUCACUGGUCGAGUCGGCCUGCGCGGAAGAUGUAACGGGGCUAAACCAUGCACCGAAGCUGCGGCAGCGACGCUUAUGCGUUGUUGGGUAGGGGAGCGUUCUGUAAGCCGUCGAAGGUGUGCUGUGAGGCAUGCUGGAGGUAUCAGAAGUGCGAAUGCUGACAUAAGUAACGAUAAAGCGGGUGAAAAGCCCGCUCGCCGGAAGACCAAGGGUUCCUGUUCAACGUUAAUCGGAGCAGGGUGAGUCGACCCCUAAGGCGAGGCCGAAAGGCGUAGUCGAUGGGAAACAGGUUAAUAUUCCUGUACUCGGUGUUACUGCGAAGGGGGGACGGAGAAGGCUAUAUCAGCCGGGCGACGGUUGUCCCGGUUUAAGCGUGUAGGCGGAGUGUCCAGGUAAAUCCGGACGCUUGUUAACGCUGAGGCGUGACGACGAGGCACUACGGUGCUGAAGUGAUAAAUGCCCAGCUUCCAGGAAAAGCCUCUAAGCAUCAGGUAACACAGAAUCGUACCCCAAACCGACACAGGUGGUCAGGUAGAGAAUACCAAGGCGCUUGAGAGAACUCGGGUGAAGGAACUAGGCAAAAUGGUGCCGUAACUUCGGGAGAAGGCACGCUGGCGCGUAGGUGGAGGGACUUGCUCCCCGAGCCGAAGCCAGUCGAAGAUACCAGCUGGCUGCAACUGUUUAUUAAAAACACAGCACUGUGCAAACACGAAAGUGGACGUAUACGGUGUGACGCCUGCCCGGUGCCGGAAGGUUAAUUGAUGGGGUUAUCCGCAAGGAGAAGCUCUUGAUCGAAGCCCCGGUAAACGGCGGCCGUAACUAUAACGGUCCUAAGGUAGCGAAAUUCCUUGUCGGGUAAGUUCCGACCUGCACGAAUGGCGUAAUGAUGGCCAGGCUGUCUCCACCCGAGACUCAGUGAAAUUGAACUCGCUGUGAAGAUGCAGUGUACCCGCGGCAAGACGGAAAGACCCCGUGAACCUUUACUACAGCUUGACACUGAACAUUGAGCCUUGAUGUGUAGGAUAGGUGGGAGGCUUUGAAGCGCGGACGCCAGUUCGCGUGGAGCCAACCUUGAAAUACCACCCUUUAAUGUUUGAUGUUCUAACGUAGGCCCGUAAUCCGGGCUGCGGACAGUGUCUGGUGGGUAGUUUGACUGGGGCGGUCUCCUCCUAAAGAGUAACGGAGGAGCACGAAGGUCAGCUAAUCACGGUCGGACAUCGUGAGGUUAGUGCAAUGGCAUAAGCUGGCUUGACUGCGAGAGUGACGGCUCGAGCAGGUGCGAAAGCAGGUCAUAGUGAUCCGGUGGUUCUGAAUGGAAGGGCCAUCGCUCAACGGAUAAAAGGUACUCCGGGGAUAACAGGCUGAUACCGCCCAAGAGUUCAUAUCGACGGCGGUGUUUGGCACCUCGAUGUCGGCUCAUCACAUCCUGGGGCUGAAGUAGGUCCCAAGGGUACGGCUGUUCGCCGUUUAAAGUGGUACGCGAGCUGGGUUUAGAACGUCGUGAGACAGUUCGGUCCCUAUCUGCCGUGGGCGCUGGAGAAUUGAGGGGGGUUGCUCCUAGUACGAGAGGACCGGAGUGAACGCACCACUGGUGUUCGGGUUGUCAUGCCAAUGGCAUUGCCCGGUAGCUAAGUGCGGAAAAGAUAAGUGCUGAAAGCAUCUAAGCACGAAACUUGCCCCGAGAUGAGUUCUCCCUGACUCCUUGAGAGUCCUGAAGGGACGUUGAAGACUACGACGUUGAUAGGCCGGGUGUGUAAGCGCAGCGAUGCGUUGAGCUAACCGGUACUAAUGACCCGUGAGGCUUAACCUUACAACGCCAGAGGCGUUUUUGAGAGA
Molecule: ribosomal RNA, 2938 nt
Filed under: Pantoea allii
Lineage: Bacteria; Pseudomonadati; Pseudomonadota; Gammaproteobacteria; Enterobacterales; Erwiniaceae
Description: partial 23S ribosomal RNA
Rfam family: Bacterial large subunit ribosomal RNA
Source: RNAcentral